Molecule: long non-coding RNA, 821 nt
Filed under: Equus caballus (horse)
Lineage: Eukaryota; Metazoa; Chordata; Mammalia; Perissodactyla; Equidae
Description: lncRNA (ENSECAG00000059620.1)
Source: RNAcentral
GGAUUCCUGUGGAUUUAAUCCUGUAGGAUGAAAACAAUAGUGAAUAUGUCUGUGUGUGGUUCAUGCAUCCUAAUGUAUCAGGCUAUGUCUUAGCACGACAUUAGCAAUAACAGGUUGUGAAGCUAAAAUAAACUUUUCUAAACGAUCAGCCACACUAGAAAAAAGCCUGAAAUCUCUUUCUGUUCCCUCUGUGGACAACAGUGUUUCAAACUUAUUGUGAUAUGAAGAGACAAUCAAAGAGUAUGCAGCCAAAAAAGAAAGAAUAAAGUGUUGUAGAAGUGUGUUAAGACAAUUAAUUAACAUAAGCUAAUGUUAUUUUCUGUAUUUUGUGUUUUUGUGGUGUUUUCCAGCUUUUAAAACUUUGUGAUUUGUUACUAUUUAUUUUCUCCUUCUAUUCACUUUUGUAUUUAAUUUUGUACUUAUAAUUUUGCCUUCAUUUUCUUUAAAAGAGUGAACAUCAUUCAGGCCAAGUAAACCUGCAUCGGCCCCCGUGCAUAGGCUGCAAUGAAGAGAUGGGAACGGCCAGCCUGCCCAGGACAGAGGCUGAGAACUGGGGAAUCACAGCCAGCAGGCCAUUACAAAAGGUUUCCUAGGAACGCUCUGGUUUUGGACAGCGGGGGAAACCCGUACAUGGUGGGCAGGAGCAUCCUGAUCUGCGACGACAGAGGGACGCCGAGAGGAAUCUGAAUGAACAGGCCUCGCUAAGCGUCCCCCAGUCUACUGCACUUCCCUCAUGCCAUUUGUCCAUGACGUCUCUCUGCGACUGUCCACUCUUCAUCAGACCUAGCAUAAAAACGCUCAGGUUUAACUGCUCUUUCUGG